CAGAGGGUUGAUCCUUAAAUAGAUUGAACAUGGCGGGGAUGUGUCCACGGCACAAGUCGAACGGCGGCACUGGACUUCGGUCUGGUGGCGAGUGGCAGGAGGCGGUGGAAAUGUGUAUCAGAACGAUGCCCUGUUGGCGGGGAUAUACGCGAAAGCGCGUCAUACUAUACGCCCUUCGAGAAAGCGGGGAUAUGGGCUCACACUAUUAGAGCGGCCGAUAUCGGAUUAGCUCAGUUGGUGGGGUAACGGCUCACCAAGGCGACGAUCCGUAGCUGGUUUGAGAGGACGACCAGCCACACUGGGACUGAGACACAAGCCCGGGCUCACCACGGGAGAGCGGCAGUGGGAAUUUUGGACAGUGGGGGAAACCUGAUCAGCCAUCCCCGCGUGUACGUGAAGGCCUUCGAGUUUAUAAAACACUUUUGGCAGGAAAGAAACGGCACGGGAUAAUACCCCGUGCAACUGACGGUACCUGCAGAAUAAGCACCGGCUAACUACGUGCCAGCAACCGCGGUAAUACGUAGGGUGCAAGCGUUAAUCGGGAAUUACUGGGCGUAAAGCGUGCGCAGGCGGUUCGGAAAGAAAGAUGUGAAAUCCCGGGCCAACUGGAACUGCAUUUUUAACUACCGAGCUAGAGAGUGUGUCAGAGGAGGUGGAAUUCCGCGUGUAGCAGUGAAAUGCGUAGAUAUGCGGAGGAACACCGAUGGCGAAGGCAGCCUCCUGGGAUAACACUGACGCUCAUGCACGAAAGCGUGGGGAGCAAACAGGAUUAGAUACCUGGUAGUCCACGCCUAAACGAUGUCAACUAGCUGUUGGGGCCUUCGGGCCUUGGUAGCGCAGCUAACGCGCGUGAAGUUGACCGCCUGGGAAGUACGGUCGCAAGAUUAAAACUCAAAGGAAUUGACGGGGACCCACAAGCGGUGGAUGAUGUGGAUUAAUUCGAUACAACGCAAAAACCUUACCUACCCUUGACAGCUGUCUGGAAUCCCGAAGAGAUUUGGGAGUGCUCGCGAGAACCGGAACACAGGUGCUGCAUGGCUGUCGUCGCUCAUGUCGUGAGAUGUUGGGUUAAGUCCCGCAACGAGCGCAACCCUUGUCAUUAGUUGCUACGAAGGGCACUCUAAUGAGACUGCCGGUGACAAACCGGAGGAGGAAGGUGGGGAUGACGUCAAGUCCUCAUGGCCCAUAUGGGUAGGGCUUCACACGUCAUACAAUGGCGAUUCGGGACAGAGGGUCGCCAACCCGCGAGGGGGCAAUCCCGAAACCCGAUCAUAGUCCGGAUCACAGUCUGCAACUCAUUCAUGAAGUCCGAAUCAUGUCAAAUCGCGGAUCAACGUAUCGCGGUGAAUACGUUCCCGGGUCUGUACACACCGCCCGUCACACCAUGGGAGUGGGUUUUACCAGAAGUAGUUAGCCUAACCGUAAGGCGAUUACCACGGAAGUAAGGAUUCUUGGCUGGAAUUUGGUGGCCAACAAGGUAG
Molecule: ribosomal RNA, 1481 nt
Filed under: uncultured Bordetella sp.
Lineage: Bacteria; Pseudomonadati; Pseudomonadota; Betaproteobacteria; Burkholderiales; Alcaligenaceae
Description: partial 16S-23S ribosomal RNA intergenic spacer
Rfam family: Bacterial small subunit ribosomal RNA
Source: RNAcentral